RNAcentral lists this RNase P RNA (438 nucleotides) under Rhodoferax aquaticus. Its description in RNAcentral is "RNase P RNA component class A". It matches the Rfam family "Bacterial RNase P class A". From Rfam's summary of the family: Ribonuclease P (RNase P) is a ubiquitous endoribonuclease, found in archaea, bacteria and eukarya as well as chloroplasts and mitochondria. Its best characterised activity is the generation of mature 5'-ends of tRNAs by cleaving the 5'-leader elements of precursor-tRNAs. Lineage: Bacteria; Pseudomonadati; Pseudomonadota; Betaproteobacteria; Burkholderiales; Comamonadaceae. The record is from RNAcentral.
GAAGCUCGCCAGACCACCGCUGGUGCAAUUUGGGAAACCAAGCACUGGAGGAACGUCCGGACUGCAUAGGGCAGCGUAGCAGCUAACGGCUGUCCACUGACAAACUUCCCACGCAAGUGGGAGGCCCUAAGGUGAGGAUUAGAGCAACAGAGACGAGUCGACAUAGAUAACCCAUGGGUGUUCUAUGCGUGUAGCGCGGCGCAAGCCGUGCCCCGGGUAACCGGGUGCGCAUAGCCGCACGACAGGGGCUCUGCCCAUGUCGGGUGAAACGGGCAAUCUCUACGCGCAGCAAUACCAAGUAGGCACACGUUGACGGGGCCCCCGGAGUGUGCGGGUAGGUAGCACCGAGCUGUUGGGUGACCAGCAGCCAAGAGUAAUGGUGGUCACAUGAGGGGAAACCCUCAUGCACAGAAUCCGGCUUAUCGGUGGGCUUCACAC